RNAcentral lists this transfer RNA (74 nucleotides) under Parcubacteria group bacterium CG1_02_58_44. Its description in RNAcentral is "tRNA-Gly". It matches the Rfam family "tRNA". Rfam says of the family: Transfer RNA (tRNA) molecules are approximately 80 nucleotides in length. RNAcentral also lists the same sequence under 1 other name. The record is from RNAcentral.
GCGGGGUUAGUUCAAUGGCAGAACACCUGCUUCCCAAGCAGGCAACGCGGGUUCGAUUCCCGUACCCCGCUCCA